Molecule: ribosomal RNA, 377 nt
Filed under: uncultured bacterium
Lineage: Bacteria
Description: bacterial SSU rRNA
Rfam family: Bacterial small subunit ribosomal RNA
Source: RNAcentral
UAAUACGAAAGGUGCAAGCGUUACUCGGAAUCACUGGGCGUAAAGCGCGCGUAGGCGGAUUCGUAGGUCGAUUGUGAAAUACCUGGGCUCAACCCGGGAACGGCAGUCGAAACCGCGUUUCUUGAAUACCUGAGAGGGUGGGGGAAUACCUAGUGGAGAAGUGAAAUUCGUAGAGAUUAGGUGGAACACCAGAGGCGAAGGCGCCUGCCUGGCAGUGUAUUGACGCUAAAGUGCGAAAGUGCGGGGAGCAAACAGGAUUAGAUACCCUGGUAGUCCGCACCGUAAACGAUGGAUACUAGGCGUUUGGGGAAUUAACCCUCUGAGUGCCGAAGUUUACACAUUAAGUAUCCCGCCUGGGAAGUACGGUCGCAAGACUA